CAACAAACUUUACAAAUGGUAGCAAUCGCGAAGGGGAUCUUCGGAAGAGCUGGGAGGAGCAGCGUGUCUUUCGUACAUAAAUGAAGUAUUUCAAUGAAUACGCUGCCACGUAAUUGUCGGGCUUUCCAGUGAACAUUUAGUGGUCGUGCGGUGCGUAUAUCAAGCACUGUCGACAUGCUUGACCCUGUGCAAGUACUGUGGCUAGUCGCCGUGGCCGCUCUGUGGGGGUUUUCAGCCCCGCUCUUGCGUCGAGGAGGCAAAGGUGUGGAAGAUAUCAAACGCCAAGGAGCACUGAACCAGUGGCUAGCGGAAGUUAAGUUCCUUGCGACCAGGCCUCAGUAUGUGCUGCCAUUCCUAAUAAACCAGAGUGGGUCUGCCAUUUAUGCAUUGGCCCUAGGAUCUGCAGACUUGUCCUUGGCGGUGCCGCUUACCAAUUCUCUCAACUUCAUCUUUGUCACCUUGGCUGGGCGUAUUCUGGGUGAAACAACCACUAGCACUCGCACAUACAUUGGCAUGGCCUUCGUGACUACAGGAGUAACACUGUGUGUUGCCGACAAAGCCUGGAACCAAGCGAUGCUCACGCUCAAGGUGGUGGUGGUCGGAAGCUGCGCCUGCGGGAAGACCACGCUGAUACGAACUUUCCUGCGCGAUGACGUCAGGGGCUCCGUGCCCGCGCCAACCGUCCAGGAAGUCUACGUCGGUCACAUGCAGCACGACGGCAAGAAGACGUGUCGUCGCCGACUGCUGCGCAGGUCCGGCUGGUCAUCUGGGACACGGGCGACUCUGACCUGCUGUGCGACCCGCACCGGGCCUCUUGCUACGCCGAAGCCGACGUGGUGCUCAUCUGCUUCUCGGUGCGCGACAUCUUCUCCGGCAGCGAGGUGCCGACUCGCUGGGCGACCGAAGUGCGACACUUCAACCCGAACGUGCCCGUGCUGCUGGUCGCCACGCAAAUGGACCUUCGCGAGGACCCCGUGACCGUUCAGGAGCUGGCGCAGAUCAAGUGCCGGCCCUCUAGCGUCGCCGAGGGUCUACAGCUGGCCCAGAAGAUCCAGGCGGCGCACUACGUCGAGUGCUCGGCGCUAGACCUUGCCAGCGUGCGCAAGGUCUUCGAGAGCGUGUUACACACCUGCCUCAGGACGACGCAAAGUCGACAGAAGAAGUCAAGGUGGAAGUGCUGCUGCUGACGUCAUCAUGCGCCGAACAAUUCCUCUGUAUCUAGUCACACGACACGCUGGGCCAAAGAAUCGAACGGUGUCAUUUGGCUGCAGACAGGCUUUCAGCUACAUUCCAAUCGACGUUCGUUUAUGCACGACCUGCCGCUGCACUCCUUGCUGCAGACCGGAUGGGGAGACGUAUACUGUUGCGAACUAUAUGUGCCUUUAUUUUGCAGGUGACCUGAUAUUUCUAGAGGAGAUAUUUUCAACACAUCUUUGCCAGGAAAGUCUAUUUAUAGCCUACGUACCACCUUAUGUUGCGCCAUGUUCUGCUUGCGAGAGUCUCCAAACGAUAUCCGCAGGGUACAAAGAUAGCGUUGUUUAUCGUUUGUUGUUGUUAACGAUCGAAAGUGUGAUAUGCGAGCCGUAUGUGUUGUGUCAGUCGUGAGAUUCACGUCAGGUUUUAGCAAAUGAUUGAGACUUUAGCGCGAGAGAGAAGCUCUUAAAAGGAAGGGAUGUGAUAUGCAGUUUAGGAAUUUUGGGACCAAUUACGUGACCUGACGAAGAGUUAGUUGACAAGACGCUUGCACGUUGAUGUCUUUAAAUGAGUGUUGUUCAUAAACAUGUAUUUAUGCCCAAACCA
Non-coding RNA from Dermacentor andersoni, 1800 nucleotides. Lineage: Eukaryota; Metazoa; Arthropoda; Arachnida; Ixodida; Ixodidae. The record is from RefSeq and is a predicted model, not a curated record.